GUGUCAGCCGCCGCGGUAAUACGGAGGGUGCGAGCGUUGUUCGGAAUUACUGGGCGUAAAGCGCGUGUAGGCGGCCUUGCAAGUCAGGCGUGAAAGCCCUCGGCUUAACCGGGGAAGUGCGUCUGAAACUGCUUGGCUUGAGUACGGGAGAGGGAGGCGGAAUUCCCAGUGUAGAGGUGAAAUUCGUAGAUAUUGGGAGGAACACCGGUGGCGAAAGCGGCCUCCUGGACCGAUACUGACGCUGAGACGCGAAAGCGUGGGGAGCAAACAGGAUUAGAAACCCCCGUAGUCC
Molecule: ribosomal RNA, 292 nt
Filed under: uncultured bacterium
Lineage: Bacteria
Description: partial 16S ribosomal RNA
Rfam family: Bacterial small subunit ribosomal RNA
Source: RNAcentral